ACGAACGCUGGCGGCGUGCUUAACACGUGCCAGUCGCACGGAAAGGCCCUGCUUUUGUGGGGUGCUCGCGUGGCGAACGGGUGAGUAACACGUGAGUAACCUGCCCUUGACUUUGGGAUAACUUCAGGAAACUGGGGCUAAUACCGGAUAGGAGCUCCUGCUGCAUGGUGGGGGUUGGAAAGUUUCGGCGGUUGGGGAUGGACUCGCGGCUUAUCAGCUUGUUGGUGGGGUAGUGGCUUACCAAGGCUUUGACGGGUAGCCGGCCUGAGAGGGUGACCGGCCACAUUGGGACUGAGAUACGGCCCAGACUCCUACGGGAGGCAGCAGUGGGGAAUAUUGCACAAUGGGCGGAAGCCUGAUGCAGCAACGCCGCGUGCGGGAUGACGGCCUUCGGGUUGUAAACCGCUUUCGCCUGUGACGAAGCGUGAGUGACGGUAAUGGGUAAAGAAGCACCGGCUAACUACGUG
This 467-nucleotide ribosomal RNA is filed under the name uncultured bacterium. RNAcentral's name for it is "partial 16S ribosomal RNA". It matches the Rfam family "Bacterial small subunit ribosomal RNA", at positions 29 to 507 of the family's 1533-position model. The record is from RNAcentral.